Molecule: unclassified non-coding RNA, 315 nt
Filed under: plant metagenome
Description: partial contains 5.8S ribosomal RNA, internal transcribed spacer 2, and large subunit ribosomal RNA
Rfam family: 5.8S ribosomal RNA (bases 1-105)
Source: RNAcentral
GAACUGCGAUAAGUAAUGUGAAUUGCAGAAUUCAGUGAAUCAUCGAGUCUUUGAACGCACAUUGCGCCCCCUGGCAUUCCGGGGGGCAUGCCUGUCCGAGCGUCAUUGCUGCCCUUCAAGCCCGGCUUGUGUGUUGGGUCGUCGUCCCCUCCGGGGGACGGGCCCGAAAGGCAGCGGCGGCACCGCGUCCGGUCCUCGAGCGUAUGGGGCUUUGUCACCCGCUCGAUAAGGACCGGCCGGGCGCCAGUCGGCGUCUCCAACCUUUUUUUCUCAGGUUGACCUCGGAUCAGGUAGGGAUACCCGCUGAACUUAAGC